RNAcentral lists this unclassified non-coding RNA (200 nucleotides) under Amphinema sp. (in: basidiomycete fungi). RNAcentral's name for it is "Amphinema sp. (in: Fungi) partial internal transcribed spacer 2". The record is from RNAcentral. Lineage: Eukaryota; Fungi; Basidiomycota; Agaricomycetes; Atheliales; Atheliaceae.
UUAAGUUCAGCGGGUAGUCCUACCUGAUUUGAGGUCAAAAUAAGAUGACAUAUGUCCCCGGAGGGACGGUUGGAAGCAGACUUUCACCCACCACAGCGCAACAGGAUUAUCACACUGGGGCAAGUUUCUCUCCACUGAUGCAUUUAAAGAGGAGCCGACCUUCGCCAGCACGCUCCAAGUCCAAUCCCCCCGAAGCAAAU